RNAcentral lists this small nuclear RNA (108 nucleotides) under Meriones unguiculatus (Mongolian gerbil). The record is from RNAcentral. Lineage: Eukaryota; Metazoa; Chordata; Mammalia; Rodentia; Muridae.
GUACUCGCUUCCGCAGCACAUACACUAAAAGUGGGAUGACACAGAGAAGGUUAUCAGCAUGGCCCCUAUGCAAGGAUGACAUGCAAGCGUGAAAUAUGAAACGUUCCA